This 4505-nucleotide long non-coding RNA is filed under the name Canis lupus familiaris (dog). RNAcentral's name for it is "lncRNA (ENSCAFG00000051305.1)". Lineage: Eukaryota; Metazoa; Chordata; Mammalia; Carnivora; Canidae. The record is from RNAcentral.
UUUUUUUUUUUUUUUUAAAGAUUUUAUUUAUUUACUUGACAGAGAGAAAGGGGUGGGGGGAGAAAGCAUGAGCAGAGGGAGAGGGAGAAGCAGACUCCCCGCUGAGUAAGGAGUCAGGCUCGAUCCCAGGACCCAGAGAUCAUGUCCUGAGCUGAAGGCAGAUGCUUAACUGACUCAGCCACCCAGGCAUUCCUAUUUAUUUUAGAGAGAAAGAGAGCAAGCGUUGGGGAAGGGCACAGGGAGAGACCUCAAGCAGACUCCCUGUUGAGCUCAGAGCCCAAUGGAGGGCUCAAUCUCAUGACCCUGAAAUCAUGACCUGAGUGAAACCAAGAGUUGGUCACUCAACUGAGAUACCAGGAGCCCAUUUCUUAUUUUUAAUAUCAUUUUUAACUCAUAGAUUUUCACAUAUUUGUUGUGUUUAAAUCAGCUACAGAUACUCUUUUCAAUCCUUUAACUGCCCUAUUUUGGGCCAGUAGUAGUCUCUUUAUUUGACUCCUGUGUCCUUUUGGCAAGACUUGUGUAGUCUUUGAGAACACUCUUGCUUUCUGGCACAAGAUGUCUUAACUUCAUUUUACCCCGCACCUGGAAUCAGACAUUUCUACGAGCACAAGUUUCUUUUUUAGAGACCACAUUACCUUAAAUGUCUUCCCAUUUCUCUUAAAUCCAAAAUACCUAAUAUGGUAUCAUGCUUCCUGACAUUGGUAUGUCACAAAUGCGUUAUACUCCUAAAUGGAAAAUUGACCAAUUCAGAGCUGAGUUGAUUGGUGGAGCCUAUGUUGUCUGAAGAAGCUGGGGACAAGCAACUUCAUCUAUUUUCCACAGUGGUGCAUGUAAUAUUUUCUACGAUUGCAAUGAUGAGAAAACAGGAGGUGACGGUAUAGUAAUAAACAUCUGUUUGUCAGCUCAACAGACCUUCCUUUGAUGGAAACUCCUCCAUUCAGUUUUAAAUCUUUUUAGUCCAUGUAAUUAAGACAAGCCUGACCAGGUUCUUCCCCUCCUGUCUCUUCCACAUACAAAUUGCAUUCCCAGAAUGGACGCAGGAUCCAGGCCUGGGUUAGUAGAGGAUUCCAUUCCCUGCCCAUCUGGGCAGUUCAGGGAUAGGUAUAUAUGCUAAAGUUGGCUAGUUGGAGCCUCUUCUGAUAUUUCUGCCUGAGCUAAUUUUCUCUGGAAUUGUGACUUACAAAGAUGUUGCAAGAUUGGAGCUGACAGUGCCCAACCUGCCACAGAAUGGAAAGUACCUGAAAAUAAAGUCAAGCAUGUAGAACUAAAGAAAAAAGAGUCUUGAAGACAUUCUUUAGACUCCUAACUCCAACCAUCCGUAAAGUUAGAAUACCUCUUACCACUGGAGACCUACCGCCCGAGGUCUACAAGACCUUGAAUUGCCCCUCUAUAUCCUCAACUAAUAAGACUUUUUCUCAGUCACUGUACUCUAACCACCUUAGAUCUAUUUGUGGUUCCAUGAAAGCCCCAAUAUCUUACCACCUCCAGGGCUUUGCACCUGCCAUGCCUUUGGCCUGAAAUGCACCAGUCCAAACCUUUCUCUCCACCAGGCCUCAGUUAACCAUUAUAUCCUCAGCAAAACAGUCCCUGACAUUCCUGUUCAGCUCAGACCCUCUGUUAAUCAUCCCCAUAGUUUCCUAUACAUCUCUCUCGUCGCCCUUCCCUUAAACAUAAUCAUUUGUGCAACCACUUCACUAAUUAAUGUCUAAUGUUCCUGUCAAUAUGUAAGUCCCAUGAGGGGAGGUGCUCUGUGAUUUUGACAUGGUGAUUGGUACAUAGUAGGUAUCUCUUGAAUAUGUAUUGAAAGUAUGAGUAAAUACUUUUAAGGCUUAUGGUACAUAUACAUAAUAAUUUUAUUAGAAAAUGUACAUUCGCAAUGUUAAAAUACAUUAAAUUACAAAUAAAUUUGCAGUAGUCGAAAAAGGUACCGAAAAAUAUCCUCUCACAAUAAGUUAAUCUCAAGAAUUUGAGCAGAUGCAGAUAAACAGUGUAUACUUUUUAGAGACCAAACAAAUAUUAUAUACAGAUUUCACUUUAUGCAAGAUAACUUGAAGAGUUUAAAUGUAGGCCAGCUUAGCAAGGUAACAUGGAGAUGCUUUUUGAAGUUAUAAAUCCCUUCAAAUAUAAAAAUCACUUUAAGUUUUGGUUUUCAAAAACUUAUUUUUUCUGAAAUACAAACUAUUUUCAGCAGCUUUUCAUACCUAUCAUCUUUUCCAAUUUAUAAUCCACUUGACCCACUCAAGACCUCAACUAGUGAUUUUUUCCUGAAACUUUAUCCCCCUGCCUUUUCCUCAACCCUAUGUCAUUUCCUUGUCGUCUUCUGCGGCAAGAUGUGUGGUGGUAUAAUCCAGAAAAGAAAGCACUCUUAAUAAAAAGAAAGAUGUUAGUCAUUUUUGUAAAAUCAUAGUUUAGCUGAAUUUUAUUCGAUAUUAUAAAUCUUUGGAAGUUGGGCAACUUCUCUAUGUCAUAUUCUUGGAUGGAAACAGUCUGUUACGCUAAGAUAACAGCCUCAAUUAGUGGACUUCAUAUUAUAUUUUCCUAAUAUUUCUACUAACAGGAGUCACCAGUACAUGUAAUUUACACUAAAAUAAGCAAUUAACUGCUCUUGCAACUUUCUGGCCUACUUCCCCCACUCUAACAAAUUUAGUGGUUUAGAGUGUGGAGUCUAAAGACAGAUAUUUAUUAGACAAAUGUCUUAAUUUCUCUGUGCCUGUUCUUUUAUCUGUAAAAUGGGAAUCAUAACAGUAACUUUGCUUCAUAGGACUGCUGUGAAAACUAAACUCUGUAUUACAUAUUGCCUGCAAUAUGGGAAGAAUUCUAUAAAUAUUAGUUUCAUCAUCACCAUUAUUUUCUAUUGUACACACUAUCUAAACCAAGGGUGUUUCUUUUUAGGAUUAGAAGUGACCCAAAAAAUGUAAGACUGAGGAAAGAGCUGCAGAACAUCAAAGAAGAGAGAUCCCAGGUCUUGACCAAAUAGCCAGAAACCCCUGGCUAUGGCUCUGAUAAGUCUAACCAAAGCAGAGUCUUUCUAUGGGAGAUGAAGAUGAGUAAAAACAAUCUCUAAAAUUUAAUCAAGAUUUCUGUCAGAUUAAGCUUUCUAUUAGAGCUGAAGUUUGAUUUAUGAGUAUGGCAAAUUUCAAUAACAAAAAACCAAAUAGUCUGAUUUUAAAAUGGGCAGAGGAGGAGCACCUGGCUGGCUCAGUCCAUAGAGCAUUAGAUUCUUGAUCUUGGCGUCAUGAGUUCAAGUGCCACACUGAGUGUAGAGCUUACUUAAAAAAAAAAAAAAAAAAAAAAAAAAGAUUAAAAAAAAUGGGCAGAGGAUCUGAAAAGACAUUUUUCCAAAGGACAUACAUAUGGUCAUCAGAUACAUGAAAGGAUGUUCCAGAUCAACUAAUCCUCAAGGAAAUGCAAAUGAAAACCACAAUGAGAUGUCACUUAACACCAGUGACAAUGGCUAAUAUGAAGAAUAUAAGAAAUAGCAAGUACUGAUGAGGAAGUGAAGAAAAGGGGGCCGGCCCUUGUGCACUGUUCCAAAGGAGGAGGCAGGAUUUCAAAGAGACAUCUGCACUCCCAUGUUCAUUGCAGCAUUAUUCACAAAGCCAAAACAUGGAAACCACCUAGAUGUCCAUCAACAGAGGAAUAGAUAAGGAAGAUGUGCGUAUGUAGUGAAAUAUUAUUCAGCCAUGAGAAAGGAGAUCCUUCCAUUUGUGGCAACAUGGAUGGACCUUGAGGUCAUUAUGCUAAGUGAAAUAAGACAGAAAGACAGGGACAUAUACUAUAUGAUAUCACUUAUAUGUGAAAUCUAAACGAGCUGAGCUAUUAGAGGCAGAGAGUUGGAUGAUGGUUGAUAGGGAUUGGGGGUGGAGGAAAUGGGGAGAUGUUGGUCAGAGAACUUCCUGUUAUAAGUGAGUUCUGGGGAUUUACUGUACAACAUGGUGAUCACAAUUAAUAAUAGUGUAUUAUAUAAUUUAAAGUUGCUAAGAGAGUAGAUCUUAAAUGUUCUCACCAAAAAAAAAAAAAAAAUGAUAAUUCUGUGAUAGGAUAUAGGUAUUAGCUAAUGCUAUGGUGGUAAUCUUUUUGCUAUAUGUAAGUUCAUCAAAUCAAUGCAUUGUAUACCUUAAACUUACACAAUGUUAUAUAUCAAUUAUAUCUCAAUAAAGCUGGAAAAACAAAAGGUACAGGGAGAAGAUAUCUAUCUACAAGCCAAGGAGACCUCAAAAGAAACCAGCCCUGAUGACAACCUUGGUCUUAGACUUCUAGCCUCCAGAACUGUGAGAAAUAAAUUUCUGUUGGUCAAGCCAAAAAGAAAAAAAAAAAGAAAAAAGAAAGAAAAAAGAAAGAAAGAAAGAGUAUAGCAAACAUAGUAUAAAGUGCAGAUUAUAGUGUUUACGUAUUUACUUUAAGAUUUGAAAACAGAACUUAGAAUAGGAAACAUUUGGAAAAAUAUUUAGAAAUAUUUUUGUAUUUUUUGGUAAUACUGAUCAUCAGUAUACAUAAUUCUAUAC